This 373-nucleotide ribosomal RNA is filed under the name uncultured Gammaproteobacteria bacterium. RNAcentral describes it as "partial 16S ribosomal RNA". Lineage: Bacteria; Pseudomonadati; Pseudomonadota; Gammaproteobacteria. The record is from RNAcentral.
UAGUCCGUACGAGCGCACCUUGUCCUUAUUUGCCAUCAUUUAGUUCGGGACUCUCUGGAGAGGGCGGUGUACCGGGGAGGGGGGAGACUCUCUCCUGGGCUUUUGUGGGGGUCUACACGGUCUAUGGGGCUCAAGGGGCGCCGGGGGCUUUCCUAACUCUUCUGUUUGUUAUGACUGAUUGACCGUAAUCCGGACAGNUUUGGGAAUUUUCCGGGUUGGACACCCCCAUAAGGGGGGGUGAGUUUUUUGUAUGUUGCUCUUCUGAUGGGGGGGGGGUAGGGCCAAGGGGGGGGGCGUGGCGGGGUGUAUGAAAGUGAUAAUAAGAGGGAAGGGUGUUUGUUGUUUGUUAAAUAGGUUUGGAGGGGCUGACGGG